CUUGCUCCACCGGAAAAAGAGGAGUGGCGAACGGGUGAGUAACACGUGGGUAACCUGCCCAUCAGAAGGGGAUAACACUNUGGAAACAGGUGCUAAUACCGUAUAACAAUCGAAACCGCAUGGUUUUGAUUUGAAAGGCGCUUUCGGGUGUCGCUGAUGGAUGGACCCGCGGUGCAUUAGCUAGUUGGUGAGGUAACGGCUCACCAAGGCCACGAUGCAUAGCCGACCUGAGAGGGUGAUCGGCCACAUUGGGACUGAGACACGGCCCAAACUCCUACGGGAGGCAGCAGUAGGGAAUCUUCGGCAAUGGACGAAAGUCUGACCGAGCAACGCCGCGUGAGUGAAGAAGGUUUUCGGAUCGUAAAACUCUGUUGUUAGAGAAGAACAAGGAUGAGAGUAACUGUUCAUCCCUUGACGGUAUCUAACCAGAAAGCCACGGCUAACUACGUGCCAGCAGCCGCGGUAAUACGUAGGUGGCAAGCGUUGUCCGGAUUUAUUGGGCGUAAAGCGAGUGCAGGCGGUUCAAUAAGUCUGAUGUGAAAGCCUUCGGCUCAACCGGAGAAUUGCAUCAGAAACUGUUGAACUUGAGUGCAGAAGAGGAGAGUGGAACUCCAUGUGUAGCGGUGGAAUGCGUAGAUAUAUGGAAGAACACCAGU
This 656-nucleotide ribosomal RNA is filed under the name uncultured Bacilli bacterium. RNAcentral's name for it is "bacterial SSU rRNA". It matches the Rfam family "Bacterial small subunit ribosomal RNA", at positions 71 to 713 of the family's 1533-position model. The record is from RNAcentral. Lineage: Bacteria; Bacillati; Bacillota; Bacilli.